GUUGCAGUUCCACCAGCGUUCCACUGGGGGCGAUCACCAUGAGUGCAAAAUGAAUGGGAGUCUACGGGGCUAGAUGGCUAAAUUUGUCCCUUUCACCCGAUUGCCGUUGAGAAUUCUCAGAUCUGAUGGUUGAGUUGUCGUUGCCCACAACACGCUAGCAUUCUGCUAAUGAACGCUGAUUGGUCAGUGAAGGACUGAUUACGACCAGAGAUACCGCUUGAUAGCAUCCGAAUCAGAAUCAGCCAUAGACAGUAAAAGAAAUGGACACAGCGACCCCAUUGGAACUCAACUGAGACAAUUGAAGCACUUCCGUUUCUGACGCGCAGACUCAAACGAAGCUUGACGACGUCAGCAACCUGUCUGACAGAUGUAAAUGUUCUAGUAGCUGUGCGUGCAAACUGCCAUCGUUAAUCUUGCAGAGACGGCGAGCUUGAGCGGGGAGUUCUUUGGCGUGAGUGAGCAGGAUUGCCAGAUGCUGUCCUGUUGGAAAUUCUUCUUUACGUGAUCCUGGAGGAGGGGUGAUGCUACAUUACUUAGUCCGUCUUUGGUUUGUUCCAAAUUCAGAAGUCUGCUGUACUGUAUACAGACUCCUUUCGAAAGAGGGCACAAUCCAGCUGGCUUGACUGAGUAUCUUCUUUUACAUAUUUGAUUAGAGGUUUAAAAAGGUGCCAUAACAUUACAUUUCUCAGUUGCCAUGUCUGAAUGUUUAUCUUUGUAAUAAUGCUGUUUUCAUGCUCCUCAUCUCAAUAUACAGGUGGAACAAAAUGGAGAACAAGUCUAAGCCAUGUCAGGAAUUCAACAAAAUGUACACCCUGCAGACACUGCGAUGAGGUUUACAACAACUGCUUACCAGGUCACUGCAGUCACCCGGAUCGAGUAUGUAUCCAGACCAGAUGGUGGAUCGCACCUAGAAAGGACCUCUACAGCCCUGAAAGACAGCGGAGACCAGGACAACUAGAGCCCCAGAUACAGAUCCCCUGUAAAGACCUUGUUUUUUCUCCAUUUUGUCACCGGUGGAGUUUUGGUUCCUUGUCGCCUCUGGCUUGCUUCGUUGUGGUCACUUCAUUUACAGUGAUAUCAUUGACAUGAUUGCAAAUGAUUCCACAGAUACUAUUUAAACUGAACCGAGCUGAAGGAUGACAUCACUGAAUUGAAUGAUAAACUGCCUUUUAAACUGACUACAAACUGAGUUUACUAAUGUCCUUCUGCAUUAUUGACUGACGCACUAUUUUCCUAUUUAAUACUGUAAAGUUGCUUUGCUUUGAUCUGUAUUAUUAAAAGCACUAUAUAAAUAAACGAUGCUUGACUUGACCAUGUUGCAAGAGGAAAAUGAGGAGAGAUGCACAUCCACCGUGGGUUUUACAGUGAUUGGUGCAAGAUGCUGGAGAAGUAACUCCGUAUACCUCAUCAGUUCUGAUCUAAGAGUCUUGAAAAUACCUCCGGAUUGUUGUUAGUGAUUCUGAUUGAUAUUUUAGUCUGCUUGCUUACUGGAUAUAUUUUAUACGGUUUACAUUGUAAAGCACUGACUUUGACAACUUACUAACCCAGUUUUCAAAUUUAACAGCUACUUUAUACUAUAUGUGUAUAUAUAUAUAGUUGUUUCUUGAAAUACUACAAAUAUAACCGCAAAUUAUGAUUUUAAAUAAAGGUCUCUGAGACUUC
Molecule: long non-coding RNA, 1662 nt
Organism: Carassius gibelio (silver crucian carp)
Lineage: Eukaryota; Metazoa; Chordata; Actinopteri; Cypriniformes; Cyprinidae
Exons: 4
Source: RefSeq, a predicted model, not a curated record